UACGAAGGGGGCUAGCGUUGCUCGGAAUUACUGGGCGUAAAGCGCACGUAGGCGGAUUGUUAAGUCGGGGGUGAAAGCUCCCGGCUAAACUGGGAGACGACAGGUCAGACUGCCGAACUCGAGUCCGAUAGAGGGGCGUAGAAUUCCGGGUGUAGCGGUGAAAUGUGUAGAGAUCCGGAGGAAUACCAGUGGCGAAAGCGGCGCCCUGGGUCGGUACUGACGCUGAGAUACGAAAGCGUGGGGAGCGAACGGG
RNAcentral lists this ribosomal RNA (253 nucleotides) under uncultured bacterium. RNAcentral's name for it is "partial 16S ribosomal RNA". It matches the Rfam family "Bacterial small subunit ribosomal RNA", at positions 524 to 776 of the family's 1533-position model. The record is from RNAcentral.